RNAcentral lists this ribosomal RNA (451 nucleotides) under uncultured bacterium. RNAcentral's name for it is "partial 16S ribosomal RNA". It matches the Rfam family "Bacterial small subunit ribosomal RNA", at positions 29 to 523 of the family's 1533-position model. The record is from RNAcentral.
AACGGACGCUGGCGGCAGGCUUAACACAUGCAAGUCGAACGGGUGCAGCAAUGCAUCAGUGGCAGACGGGUGAGUAACACGUGGGAACCUUCCUAGGGGUACGGAACAACUCAGGGAAACUUGAGCUAAUACCGUAUACGUCCGUGAGGAGAAAGAUUUAUCGCCCUUAGACGGGCCCGCGUCGGAUUAGCUAGUUGGCGGGGUAACGGCCUACCAAGGCGACGAUCCGUAGCUGAUCUUAGAGGAUGAUCAGCCACACUGGGACUGAGACACGGCCCAGACUCCUACGGGAGGCAGCAGUGGGGAAUCUUGGACAAUGGGCGCAAGCCUGAUCCAGCCAUGCCGCGUGAGUGAAGAAGGUCUUCGGAUUGUAAAGCUCUUUUGCCAGGGACGAUAAUGACGGUACCUGGAGAAUAAGCCCCGGCAAACUUCGUGCCAGCAGCCGCCGCCG